ACUCCUACGGGAGGCAGCAGUGAGGAAUAUUGGUCAAUGGGCGCAAGCCUGAACCAGCCAUCCCGCGUGCAGGAAGACGGCGCUAUGCGUUGUAAACUGCUUUUCCAGGGAGAGAAACUUGCGCACGUGUUGCGCAAUUGACGGUACCCUGGGAAUAAGCAUCGGCUAACUCCGUGCCAGCAGCCGCGGUAAUACGGAGGAUGCGAGCGUUAUCCGGAUUCAUUGGGUUUAAAGGGUGCGUAGGCGGACUAUUAAGUCAGUGGUGAAAUCCUGCAGCUUAACUGCAGAACUGCCAUUGAUACUGAUAGCCUUGAGUUUGGUUAAGGUAGGCGGAAUGUGUAAUGUAGCGGUGAAAUGCUUAGAUAUUACACAGAACACCAAUUGCGUAGGCAGCUUACUGAGCCGACACUGACGCUGAGGCACGAAAGCGUGGGGAUCGAACAGGAUUAGAUACCCUGGUAGUC
This 464-nucleotide ribosomal RNA is filed under the name uncultured bacterium. RNAcentral describes it as "bacterial SSU rRNA". It matches the Rfam family "Bacterial small subunit ribosomal RNA", at positions 335 to 795 of the family's 1533-position model. The record is from RNAcentral.